Molecule: ribosomal RNA, 329 nt
Filed under: uncultured eukaryote
Lineage: Eukaryota
Description: partial 18S ribosomal RNA
Rfam family: Eukaryotic small subunit ribosomal RNA
Source: RNAcentral
CCCUUAGAUGUUCUGGGCUGCACGCGCGCUACACUGAUGCAUUCAACGAGCUUUCGAUCUUGCCCGAGAGGGUUGGAUAAUCUUUUUAAAGUGCAUCGUGAUGGGGAUAGAUUAUUGCAAUUAUUAAUCUUCAACGAGGAAUGCCUAGUAAGCGCAAGUCAUCAGCUUGCGUUGAUUACGUCCCUGCCCUUUGUACACACCGCCCGUCGCUCCUACCGAUUGAAUGGUCCGGUGAAGCGUUCGGACCGUGGCCUUUGGACGGUUCGCCGUCUGUUGGCUGCGGGAAGUUCGUUAAACCUUAUCAUUUAGAGGAAGGAGAAGUCGUAACA